CACGUAGGGUGCGAGCGUUGUCCGGAAUUAUUGGGCGUAAAGAGCUCGUAGGCGGUUUGUCGCGUCGGAUGUGAAAGCCCGGGGCUUAACCCCGGGUCUGCAUUCGAUACGGGCAGACUAGAGUGUGGUAGGGGAGAUCGGAAUUCCUGGUGUAGCGGUGAAAUGCGCAGAUAUCAGGAGGAACACCGGUGGCGAAGGCGGAUCUCUGGGCCAUUACUGACGCUGAGGAGCGAAAGCGUGGGGAGCGAACAGG
Molecule: ribosomal RNA, 253 nt
Filed under: uncultured bacterium
Lineage: Bacteria
Description: partial 16S ribosomal RNA
Rfam family: Bacterial small subunit ribosomal RNA
Source: RNAcentral